AUUGAACGCUGGCGGCAUGCCUAACACAUGCAAGUCGAACGGUAAACGCGGAGAGCUUUGCUCUCUGGCGACGAGUGGCGACGGGUGAGUAACACGUAGGAAUCUUCCCAAUAGUGGGGGACAGCCCGAGGAAACUCGGAUUUAAUACCGCAUACGCCCUACGGGGAAAGCUGGGGACCUCUUCGGAGACCUGGCGCUAUUGGAUGAGCCUACGUCGGAUUAGCUUGUUGGUAGGGUAAUGGCCUACCAAGGCGACGAUCCGUAGCUGGUCUGAGAGGACGAUCAGCCACACUGGGACUGAGACACGGCCCAGACUCCUACGGGAGGCAGCAGUGGGGAAUAUUGGACAAAUGGGCGAAAGCCUGAUCCAGCAAUGCCGCGUGUGUGAAGAAGGCCUGCGGGUUGUAAAGCACUUUCAGUAGGAAGAAAAGCUUGGGUGAAUACCCCAAGUUCUGACGUUACCUACAGAAGAAGCACCGGCUAACUCCGUG
This 491-nucleotide ribosomal RNA is filed under the name uncultured bacterium. Its description in RNAcentral is "bacterial SSU rRNA". It matches the Rfam family "Bacterial small subunit ribosomal RNA", at positions 30 to 507 of the family's 1533-position model. The record is from RNAcentral.